This 424-nucleotide long non-coding RNA is filed under the name Androctonus crassicauda. The record is from RNAcentral. Lineage: Eukaryota; Metazoa; Arthropoda; Arachnida; Scorpiones; Buthidae.
AUUUAAAAUCACAAUUUACUAUAGCCAUCUUGAGAAAUUUUUUUUUUUGCAUAUUUUAUGCCCUUUUCUAGUCAGGGAGAUUAUUAAGGGGCAAAGCCAGUUCCAACUCCUUAGUAAUCACAGACUGCACUCACACCUGUGGAGGAGGACCACAUGAUGAAGGAUGGGGAUCGCCGGAGUGGGUCCAGCACCCCAAAAAACUUUUCAAGAAUUACCAGACCUGGAAUACAAAAUCCAAGUCCUCCUGUGUGGCACGCUGACAACAGUACCAUUCGGCCAUCCAGCCACUGCCAUCUUGAGACUAAUAGGUCUGUCAAUAUUCUUUUACAUCCUGUGUUAUCUCAAACAAAGUAAAAAGUCCAUAUAAACAACUACUUUAUAUGGACUUUUUGCUUUGUUUUUAUAAGUAACAUCUGUGAUUUAA